GAUGAACGCUGGCGGCGUGCCUAAUACAUGCAAGUCGAGCGGACAGAUCAGGAUCUUGCUCCUCUGUCGUUAGCGGCGGACGGGUGAGUAACACGUGGAUAACCUCCCUAUAAGACUGAGAUAACUUCGGGACACCGGAGCUAAUACCAGUAAAUAUAUUGAACCAUAUGGUGCAAUAGUGAUAGACGAUUUUGCUGUCGCUAAUAGAUGGAUCCGCGCCGCAUUAGCUAGUUGGUAAGGUAACGGCUUACCAAGGCAACGAUGCGUAGACGACCUGAGAGGGGGGUCAGCCACCCUGCAUCGGAACCACGGCCCAGACUCCUAUGCUACGCAGCAGUAGGGAAUGGUCCGCAAUGGGCGGAAGCCUGGCGUAGCACCGCCGCGCGAGUUAUGAAGGUCUGCGGAUCGUAAAACUCUGUUAUUAGUGAAGAACAAAUGUGUAAUUAACUAGUCACUUCUUGACGGUACCUAAUCAGAAAGCCCCGGCUAACUACGUG
RNAcentral lists this ribosomal RNA (497 nucleotides) under uncultured bacterium. RNAcentral describes it as "partial 16S ribosomal RNA". It matches the Rfam family "Bacterial small subunit ribosomal RNA", at positions 28 to 507 of the family's 1533-position model. The record is from RNAcentral.